RNAcentral lists this ribosomal RNA (392 nucleotides) under uncultured bacterium. RNAcentral's name for it is "bacterial SSU rRNA". It matches the Rfam family "Bacterial small subunit ribosomal RNA", at positions 37 to 433 of the family's 1533-position model. The record is from RNAcentral.
UGGCGGAAUGCUUUACNCAUGCAAGUCGAGCGGCNGCGCGGGGCNACCUGGCGGCGAGCGGCGAACGGGUGAGUAAUGUAUCGGAACGUGUCCUGUCGUGGGGGAUAGCCCGGUGAAAACCGGAUUAAUACCGCAUACGAUCGAGAGAUGAAAGUGGGGGACCGCAAGGCCUCACGCGAUAGGAGCGGCCGAUAUCUGAUUAGCUAGUUGGUGGGGUAAAGGCCCACCAAGGCGACGAUCAGUAGCUGGUCUGAGAGGAUGAUCAGCCACACUGGGACUGAGACACGGCCCAGACUCCUACGGGAGGCAGCAGUGGAGAAUUUUGGACAAUGGGGGGAACCCUGAUCCAGCCAUUCCGCGUGAGUGAAGAAGGCCUUCGGGUUGUAAAGCUC